CCCCCGGCAGCUGAAUGGCGGAGCCUGUCCCUGCAUAGCUGCGCUUCCACCUGGCGUUCAGUACCUCGUGCCCGAGAGCGGAAAAGGGAAAUCGCGAGCGGAGGACCGAUGUGCUGGCCACGUGGGCCCCGCCGGGCCGACUCCGGACCCUGCUGCCGCCCGCUGCUCCGGUGCAAGGGACCUGGAAGUGAUCCCGGUGCCGCUCCUCUCCCACCAGCUAGGGAGCAGAGGCGCGGGAGGGAGGGGGCGUCCCGGGGGUCGCCAGCACGCUGGGGGCAGGGCUGGCAGCCGCCCCCACGCCCCCGCGCUGGAAGCCUCGUCUUUGUAACAUCGAGGUGUCCUAUAACUAGAUGGGUCCUGGCCUGCGGAGGUAGUUUCCCCUGUGAAGCCAGGGACUCAGCUAGGAGCGUGAGGGGAGCCGGAUCCUGAGUCUCCAAACCGCCCACUACUCUGCUUUACCGGAUGGAACUCAUCAGCAACUAGGUCUGAGGCACAGUCAGUGAAUACCUGUUUAAUGAAUGCAUGCAUAAAUGAAUGAAUGGAUGAUCCAGCUCUUCCUGGAGCAGACACGACUUCCACAGAAACAAAAAGAGAGCAAACUCGAGCCGUAAGCAGAAGGAACGUUAUAGCUCCAGCGCUGAAUGAGACAUCUUAGGUUCUGUGGUGAUGUGGACUUUGUGCGUCCCUGUGAGGAAACACUUUGUUCCAAUGACGCAAUUUUCCUUACACUCCGGAAGUCCCCUGCACUGCCAGAAUUGCCCAGCUUCCCGGCACACCUAUCAACCAGUCGUUCCCAACACUGCCCAGUAUGCAGCCUCCAGGCAGAGGGCCUGGAUGUCUUGGCAGCCCACCCCAAAGCCCAAACUCCUGCCCGCAUGCUGGGAAGGUGAGCCCUUGCCUGGAGAGCCCAGCAGGGAAAAUAGAAGGAGGGAAGGAGGCCUGCUGCUUCCCUGGAGCUCUGUUCUGCGGCUGCAGGAAGACCCGCAGAGGCCCUGGGCAGCAGAACUGUGGGCAGCAAGGCCGGAGUUGUGAAACCCAACCACUCAGCUGGAUUCCAGAAGCUCAGGUGGUUGUGACUAAACCUGGCCUUACUCAAAAUGCGUGACUUUAUUGUCUUUCAAUGUAUUUUCAGUAAGCUUCAUCCUCUCUGUUACUAUUUCUUUUCUUCGGAAAAAAGCAACAGAUCUUUGUAAAAAUAAGUGAUGCGAUGCACUUAGGAAUCACCGUCAUGUGGAGAUGAGAUUUUUAUUUUUAUUUUCUGAGAGUCUCACUCUGUUGCCCAGCCUGGAUUGCAGUGACAUGAUCUCGGCUCACUGCAACCUCUGCCUCCCGGGCUCAAGCGAUUCUCAUGCCUCGGCCUCCUGAGUAGCUGGGAUUACAGGCAUGUACCACCAUGCCCAGCUAAUUUUUGUAUUUUCAGUAGAGAUGGGGUUUCGCCAUGUUGGCUAGGCUGAUCUCAAACUCCUGACCUCAAGUGAUCCACCCACCUCGGCCUCCCAAAGUGCUGGGAUGACAGGCGUGAGCCACCAUGCCUGGCUGGAGAUGAGACUUCUAUGUGUGGUGCUAAAAGAGUGAAUAAAAACAUCAGAUACUACACUGGACAUGCUUCUAAGAGCUUAGUCAUCUCACCUAAGUUCUGGGACCAACUCCCAUUUUCUUAGGAUUCCUUGGGCCCCCUCACCACCCCCCGGCCACCCCGCCCCGCUCAUUAUGAAAGUUCGGACAUCAC
This 1729-nucleotide long non-coding RNA is filed under the name Pongo abelii (Sumatran orangutan). RNAcentral describes it as "lincRNA". Lineage: Eukaryota; Metazoa; Chordata; Mammalia; Primates; Hominidae. The record is from RNAcentral.